AGCGAACAUUGGCGGUAGGCUUAACACAUGCAAGUCGAGCGAGGCGUAAUAGUCGAGCGGCGAACGGGUGAGUAACACAUGGGAAUCUACCACGAAGGGGGGGAUAACGUCCAGAAAUGGACGCUAAUAACACAUACACCAUAUUGGGAAAGCGCGCUGCGCUUUGAGAUGAGCCCAUGGCUGAUUAGCUAGUUGGUGAGGUAACGGCUUACCAAGGCGACGAUCAGUAGCUGGUCUGAGAGGAUGAUCAGCCACACUGGAACUGAGACACAGUCCAGACUCCUACGGGAGGAAGCAGUGGGGAAUCUUGCGCAAUGGGGGCAACCCUGACGCAGCCAUACCGCGUGUGUGAUGAAGGUCUUCGGAUUGUAAAGCACUUUCAGUAGGGACGACGAUGACGGUACCUACAGAAGAAGUCACGGCUAACUUCGUGCCAGCCGCCGCCGUAA
RNAcentral lists this ribosomal RNA (449 nucleotides) under uncultured bacterium. RNAcentral's name for it is "partial 16S ribosomal RNA". It matches the Rfam family "Bacterial small subunit ribosomal RNA", at positions 29 to 523 of the family's 1533-position model. The record is from RNAcentral.